UGGGGAAUAUUGCACAAUGGGCGCAAGCCUGAUGCAGCCAUGCCGCGUGUAUGAAGAAGGCCUUCGGGUUGUAAAGUACUUUCAGCGAGGAGGAAGGCAUUAAGGUUAAUAACCUUAGUGAUUGACGUUACUCGCAGAAGAAGCACCGGCUAACUCCGUGCCAGCAGCCGCGGUAAUACGGAGGGUGCAAGCGUUAAUCGGAAUUACUGGGCGUAAAGCGCACGCAGGCGGUCUGUUAAGUCAGAUGUGAAAUCCCCGGGCUCAACCUGGGAACUGCAUUUGAAACUGGCAGGCUUGAGUCUUGUAGAGGGGGGUAGAAUUCCAGGUGUAGCGGUGAAAUGCGUAGAGAUCUGGAGGAAGACCGGUGGCGAAGGCGGCCCCCUGGACAAAGACUGACGCUAAGGUGCGAAAGCGUGGGGAGCAAACA
RNAcentral lists this ribosomal RNA (427 nucleotides) under uncultured bacterium. RNAcentral's name for it is "bacterial SSU rRNA". It matches the Rfam family "Bacterial small subunit ribosomal RNA", at positions 355 to 774 of the family's 1533-position model. The record is from RNAcentral.